This 560-nucleotide ribosomal RNA is filed under the name Pseudomonas sp. acu62. Its description in RNAcentral is "bacterial SSU rRNA". It matches the Rfam family "Bacterial small subunit ribosomal RNA", at positions 136 to 691 of the family's 1533-position model. Lineage: Bacteria; Pseudomonadati; Pseudomonadota; Gammaproteobacteria; Pseudomonadales; Pseudomonadaceae. The record is from RNAcentral.
GUGGGGGACAACGUUUCGAAAGGAACGCUAAUACCGCAUACGUCCUACGGGAGAAAGCAGGGGACCUUCGGGCCUUGCGCUAUCAGAUGAGCCUAGGUCGGAUUAGCUAGUUGGUGGGGUAAUGGCUCACCAAGGCGACGAUCCGUAACUGGUCUGAGAGGAUGAUCAGUCACACUGGAACUGAGACACGGUCCAAACUCAUACGGGAGGCAGCAGUGGGGAAUAUUGGACAAUGGGCGAAAGCCUGAUCCAGCCAUGCCGCGUGUGUGAAGAAGGUCUUCGGAUUGUAAAGCACUUUAAGUUGGGAGGAAGGGCAGUAAGUUAAUACCUUGCUGUUUUGACGUUACCGACAGAAUAAGCACCGGCUAACUCUGUGCCAGCAGCCGCGGUAAUACAGAGGGUGCAACGUUAAUCGGAAUUACUGGGCGUAAAGCGCGCGUAGGUGGUUUGUUAAGUUGGAUGUGAAAGCCCCCGGGCUCAACCUGGGAACUGCAUCCAAAACUGGCAAGCUAGAGUACGGUAGAGGGUGGUGGAAUUUCCUGUGUAGCGGUGAAAUGCGU